This is a long non-coding RNA of Chinchilla lanigera (long-tailed chinchilla), 2122 nucleotides long. RefSeq lists it as uncharacterized. The record is from RefSeq and is a predicted model, not a curated record. Lineage: Eukaryota; Metazoa; Chordata; Mammalia; Rodentia; Chinchillidae. The transcript is spliced from 4 exons.
CUAGCAAGAGGAAGGUCGUGAGUACGAUUCCCGGUACCGGAAAAAAGCCAAAAAAACAGAAAAGUACAGCAGGAAUUAGCUACAAGACAGCUGCAGCUGGGAUUUUCCAGCUGACUUCCAUCUGGACAGGACUAUGGCGCUUCUGAAAGAUCCUCAGCAGAGCCCAAAUGGCUGACGGUGUAGGUCGCAAAGAAGGACAGAUGGCAAGCCACUCACCUACUGAAUAUGUUACAGAAAAUUUGAGACAAGCAAGACAUUUAUCAGACUUGCAGUCCUGGGGGAAAUUUCUCACCGCAGGCCUGUCAAAGAAGAUAUUCUAGGAAACAGCACAGUCGGAAAUUUCAGAUGCAUGGUUGAGCAACUCUUCAAGUAAAGAUGUAUAGAGAAGGAGUUACAACAAUAAGAUGAACAUCUCUACUUCCUCCAAAAACUCAACCAAAAUGAACAGAUCUUAGCACAAAUGAAACAAAUCUGUAAAGCACUUAACAGAAAUAUGAGGAAACAUAUGGAUAUGUGUUAAUCAUUUAGUACAGAAAUAUCAAAAAUAAAUGGGUAGGGCAUCAAUAUCCAAAGUUGGGAGUAAAGUCUGGCGUGAUGGUGCAUAUGUAUAAUCCCAGCACACAGGAGGCUGAGGCAGGAGGAUGGUGACUUCAAGGCCAUAGUGAGGUAACAUAGUGAGGUCAAGCUUAGACUGGGCUGCAUAGAGAGAUCCUGUCUCAAAAAACAAAAGUGAAAGCUAGAAAGGUUUGGGGAUAUAGUUUAAUGUCAUGGUCCUGGGUUUAUUCCCAAGUACUGGGGAAUGAGGAUUUUUUUGUAAAUUUUGUUUAACAGCUACUUUUCCAUAUCCUUUCUUACUUCUCAUGCAUCAGUAACUGAUCCUAUGUAAGCCUUGGAAAUUACAAGACAGUUUUUCCAAGAGUGAAUCAAAGGUUCUGCAUACAGACAGAAUUAAAGCAAAAGUGAGGUAUUUUCCAGAGAGGUGAAUUGAGAGAAUUUCUGGAUAGUAAAUGUAGAACUCUUUGAGCCUUUUCAUGGUUCAUUUCCAGAGAUCUGAAAGAUACAGCUAAAAUAUUCUAUCAGGAUACCAGGAAAAAAAAAAAAACUUUGAAAUCCAAACUCUAAAUUUUAGAAAACAAAGAAAAAAGGAAAAAUUUUUAAAAUAAUAAUAUUUUAAAAUCUCCUUGACCUAAGUACUAUGAGCAUCUGAAAGGGCAUCAGUAGGACCACACCAUGGAUAAAACACCACUUUGCAUCAAGACAUGUUGUAGUGACCCUUCUGAAUGCUCAUAAAAUGGUGACAAGUGCUUUAAAGAGAGUAAAUUACAUCUACAGCUGUAGUGUACUCUUAAUAGUAACACUCAUUGAAGUGGUGUUGAUUGUAUAGAGUCUUUAGAAUGCUGUGUUUCAAAAUGUGCAGGUGUAAAGUUGCUUCUUAAGACAAAAUACUAAGUAUUACUUAAAGAUGCUUAAUAUAUACAGAGUUAAAUUAUGUUAACUGAAUUUGGGGUAAAGUUUAUUUUAUCUAUUAAGACUCUGAAAUUAAAAUACACAUGAGGUCUUGUACAGCAAUAUAAAAUUUUCUUUGUACAUUUAUCUUUAAAUUGCAGAUAUGGUUUCGGUAGCUCUGUAGAGAUGAAAUUUUUUCCUGCUAAAACCACCUGAGGAUGAAAUUAAACAUACUUUAACUGGGUUGUGCCCAUGGGAGGUCUCAGAAGUGUCUGUUUGUAUAAGAAAUUUAUGAAUUGCUUUUCUUACCUCCCGCAGUGCUUCAUGAUGAUGACCUGUAUCGAAGAAAUAUCAAGUGCUUUAUAACUUCCCCGAUUGAAUUUUUAAAGUAAGUGAGAUUAAUAAAAAUAUAACCAAAUGUAGCCUCUUAAAUGAAUGCAAAUGAGAAGAGAUUCACAAAUACUUUUUUCAGUUAUACAAAGCCGUUUACUACUAAUAAGAAUGCAUGCUUUUAUUAGAAGGGUUUGUUGGUAUGUGUAUGUUCAUAUAUUUGUUUAGAAGGAAAAGUAACAAUCUUUUUUGUCACAGCUGUUGAAAUUUGAAAAUCUCAUUUUUUCUUGGAAAUUUCUUUUACUAUUUAUUCAGUUAUUUGUUUGUGGACCAAUAUUACUCAUUA